UACGUAGGGACCGAGCGUUGUCCGGAAUCAUUGGGCGUAAAGAGCGUGUAGGCGGCCACUUAAGUCCUGCGUGAAAUCUUGCGGCUCAACCGCAAGCGGUCGUGGGAAACUGGGUGGCUAGAGUGCGGGAGAGGAGAGUGGAAUUCCUGGUGUAGCGGUGGAAUGCGCAGAUAUCAGGAAGAACACCAAUGGCGAAGGCAGCACUCUGGGACGGUACUGACGCUGAGACGCGAAAGCGUGGGGAGCAAACAGG
Molecule: ribosomal RNA, 253 nt
Filed under: uncultured bacterium
Lineage: Bacteria
Description: partial 16S ribosomal RNA
Rfam family: Bacterial small subunit ribosomal RNA
Source: RNAcentral